UUUUUUUUUUUUUUUCUUUUUAAAGCUACACCUGCAGCAUAUAGAAGCUCCCAGGCUAGGGGUCAAAUCAGAGCUGCAGCUGCAACCAACACCACAGCUCAUAGCAACGCCAGAUCCUUAACCCAAGGAGCGAAGCCAGGGAUCAAACCUGCAUCCUCGUGGAUACUAUAUCCGGUUCUUAACCCAAUGAGCAGCAACGGGAACUCCUGCUGUACAGUUUCUAAAGCAAGGACCCCCCUGACUUCUAGAGACAGAGACUCGGACACUCUACUGGACGUCCUUGGCGAGGGACAGGAUGAGCUGCUGCUGGACAGGAUGCCUCCCGCACAGAGCCCACGGGUGGGGGUGAAACAGGAACAGGCAGUGUUGGGAGGCUGGGUGCCUAUCAUUCAGCAAGAUGGGUCAGAGUCCAGCUCCAGGCCCCACUGCCUGCCCAGUGCCUGCCCCAGUGCCUGCCCCAAUGCCCAAUGCCUGGGUAACUUUAGGCACAGGACAGUGAGCUCUCUGGGUCUCAGCUCAGGGAUCACAACAACGCCUGCGCCGGGGUCUUGUGAGGAUUAGCUGGAAUAAUCUCCACAAAGCCCUCGGCACCGCGUUUGGCUCACGGGAAGCAUUUAAUAACCACCAGCUUUUAAGAAAGGACCAUCCAUUCUCUCAACUUCCUUGGCAUUGACCCUGUGGACAGGUGGGUGUUCGCUCCACUUCCAGCUGAGAAGACUGAAGAACAAACCCCCACAAAGCAAGAGGCCAGCAACACCAGGGUGCAAGCCCUGGUCAGCGAGGCUGUGGGCUGAUGCCCCUGCUGUCCUGCCCAGGGCCACCACCAGCCGGGGGACCUGAGCACCACUUUGGCUGGACCAUCAGGCCUCCGGUGACUGCAGGGCUCUAUUUCCUCUGUCCCUGUCCCCUGAGGUUUCUUUCAAGAGUCCCGAGAAACCACAGGACCCCUUGUGCCUCCAGGAGAUGGCAGCAGUAGGAAAAAAAAACUUUUAAAGACAAGAAAAAGAAAAAAAUAUUUCCUUCUCUGGGGAUGGGGGCCCCCAGCCCUGAGAAGAGGGGUGCGCUCCAAGCCUCUUUCUGCCCCUGCCCUUGGCCGCUCUAGGCAGGAGCUCAGCUUGCUGGGUCCUGCCUUUACACCCGGCCCCCCAUGGAGCUGCAGGAAGGCAUCAUGAAUGCUUUUUGACUCCCCCUCGGUGUUUUUCAGUAGUUUAGAAAAGCGCCCCGCAGAAUGCUUGGAGUCGGAUAAAAAGUUCAUCUUUGCAAAGCCGCCUCCUCUCUCUUUCCAGUUUCUUCUCUCGCACUCCACUCCGGCCAGCUUGCUUGAACGCUGCGUUCAAACACCUUUCUCUCUCAAGCACAAGCCCUAAGAGGGAUUUGGGGGAGCAAAGUUAGAGCCAUGGAGAAGCUUAAAAAGAGGAAACAGGCCAGUCUGGCCAUUUCUGCCUUCAAUGCCUCCCCAAAAUUGGAGUAAAGGUUAAAUGAAACGCAAGUCUGCAGCCUGCCCGGGACUCGGGGUAACUACCCUGGUAAAUUGCUGUGGAUAAAAUGGUAGAAACGUGGUGCAGGCAAAUACAGGAAAACCAGAAAGAAACCAGCUUUAGGAAGAAUAAAGUGGCAAGGAGGGAAAACCACGCCAAAGACCCAAGCUGCUUCCAUCAGGGUCCUCGGUGGGGAGGCCCUGGGCUCUGAGCAGCGGCUUUGUGCUCCCGGGAAAAUUGGCCGCAGGGGAGGGAGGGCGUGCUGCGCCCCGACAGCCAGGCAGAGCCAGGCGCCCGGGUUACCCGGCAGCACGGCCCCGAGGCGGCCGUAAACGCUCCGCUCGCGACCGGUGGAGCCACAGCGCCAUCAAGCGGCCGUUCUCAGAAUAGCCGCGAAGGAUUCAGGAACGAGGUCCAGGGCUCCCAGCCUUUCCUGGCCCUCGGGGAGGGUCUGAAGCUGGGCCUGGGCCCGUCAAGCUGUCACUCUGAGCCCUGCGGCAGGAGCCUGCAGACGGACACCAGCUGUCCAGGCAAACGACACAACUCAGGUCUGGCCUGGAACCGGUGCCCCAGAGGAUGCUCAGGGGCAGAUUUUGCAAUCCUGCACGCUCUCCUCCAGCUACUUACUCCAAGCAAAAGGUCUGCUUCCCAAACAGAGUGGGGCCAGAGGAAAGGGGAGAUCUGAUGGGCAGUGGGAUGGCCGGCCACACCAUCCAGGGCUGCAGAGAGGCACACACAGCAAGGCAUCGGGAAUUUCAGCCCCAGGCCUGGGAGAUGGGCCAUUGGUACAUGUGACCCCAGAGUCUGGGCUUGAACCCUGCAACGUCUACAGACCUAGAACACAACUCUCCUGAGACACAGCACAUGAUUCCAUGCGCCUCCCAGAACGGAAUCUGGUCCUCAGAAACAGCGUAUGGGAUUAGGGGGUAACUACCUCAAGACCACGUGAUCUCCAUCCAUAGACCCCUGGAGGAACCCAACGGAGGGGCAAAAAAUCCUUAGAACACCAGCCGGGAAUGUGCAUAUUAAUAAGAAUAUUAUAUAACAGGAAAUCAGAGCAAAGGCAUUGACACAUCAUCUUAUUUAAUCCUUGCAACCACCUUAGAACAUCUGCAUCUUUAUAAUUUUUGUUUUACGGAAAAGGAAAGGGAAGUACCCAGAGGUUACAUAACUCGCCCAGGUCUGCAGCUGGCAAGUGGCAAAGCCAAGCCUGGAUCUCAGAGCCUGGAACAUGGGCCUUGGUAACUGCCUCUUCAAUUCCAUCUUUCUACCCAGCUCCCCCUCCCAACCACAGACCCAGGUUUUGUGGGACCUGAAGCUUGUACAUUUUUUCUGGAGAGAGGGGCAGCUUCUUCAAGGAAAAAAAAAAAAAAAAGAAAUGAGAGGAGUUCCUGUUGUGGCACAGAGGAAAUGAAUCCGACUAGGAACCAUGAGGUUGUGGAUUCGAUCUGUGGCCUCGUUCAGGGGGUUAAGGAUCCAGUAUUGCCGUUAGCUGUAGUGCCGUUUGCAGAUGCGGCUUGGAUCUGGCGUUGCUAUGGCUGUGGCGAAGGCUGGCAGCUACAACUCCGAUUAGACCCCUAGCCCGGGAACCUCCAUAUGCCACGGGUGUGGCCCUAAAAAAUAAUAAUAAUAAUAAUGAGGUUAGAAAUCCAUAGGAGGGAUUAUUAUUUCUAAAUCCACAGUCCAGUUGGUAGAGGGUAUGGGGCCCCUGGGGAGAUGAAGGCCGGGCCCACUUCUGCGCUCUCCCAUCUCCCCUGCUGCUGGUUCUCCCGAAUUCCUGCCUUUGCGCCCCCGCCUCCACUGCUCUGGCCUCUGCAACUGACAAUCAUGCCCAGAGAGUCCCUGAAACUGCUUUGACUCCAGGUGGCUCAGUGACACCCCAACUGCCAAGUACACCGAGUCCUCUGCAGCCCUUCCCUCCCGGACAAAUUUGCAGCCCUGACAUUUCCCCCUUCUGGAAACUCUCCUGAUGCGCUGGACACACCAUUUUCCUGAUUUUUCUCUUGCCAUCCAGCCUCUCCAUCUCUGUGUUCCUCAGUGUGGAGUCCCCAUCACCCGUUCCCAAAAUGUCCUGGUGAGCACGGGCACAGAAAUGUCGGCAACCUCACUGACGGCCAAACCUGAGGUUUCACACCUGACCUCUGUAAGAGCUGUGUGACCUUCGGCCAACUAGUCACCCUCUCUGAGCUCACCAUCUUGUCUGUCUGAUAAGGAUACAGACCAUAAGUUAUUUAGGAGAUUGAAUGAGAUAACAGAGGUAGCUCUGAGCACUAGAUCGCUAUUUUCAGGACCUGGAGAAUCAUGUUGGCCAUGGGGUCCUCCCAGAUCUUGUCUAAAACCCCCCUUUUUUCUGCUGAUUUCUGAACCAUGCUACUGACUAUCCAGCACGGAGGCAAGACCUCAGGACCCAUCUCCCUGGAUCCACACCAGGGGUCCCCCUCAGCCCACCCCUCCUCUCCCACCUGUCCUCAGGUUCUCCUGAUCUCUCGCCCUGGGACCUCUGGCCAGCCUCCUAAAUGAGGGGCUUCCCUGCAGCCCGCCCAACCCGUCCUCCCCGCACAGGCGUGCAUACCUUCGAGCCAGCUCAGAGGGUGCUCUUUUACCACUUAAAACCCUGCCAUGUCUCUCCUUUCUCAUCAGUAUGAAGUUCAACCCCACCACGAAGCCCAGGAUUAUCAGACUCCUGUUGCCCCUGUGCUUGCAUCAUCUCCCCCUAAAAGCCCCUGAAGGGUUGCCCCCUAAAGGAUUCACUUGGACAUCCCAAACUACCUGCAUUUCCCAAUGUGGCACCAGGCGUCCCCUCCCCUCUGCACCUGGAAUGCCCACCAGUCUCUACCAACCACCUUCAGAGCCCAGUUCAAAUGUCACCUCCUCUGGGAAGCCUGCCAGGAUGCUCCCUUGAAGUUCGGGACCAAUUCUCUGCAUCCUGUGGAUACCAGGAUUGCAGCACUAUUCGGACCUACAACAGAAUUACUGAUUUCUUGUUUCAGAGGCUCUGUGGGGAGCGCUUUAAGAGCAUCAGCAUCUAAAAAGGCAAGAGAGGGAGCUCCUGUUGUGGUUCAGCGAGUCAAAAACCUGACAUGUCCAUGAGUAUGUGGGUUCAAUGCCUGGCCUCACUCAGUGGGUUAAGGAUCUGGCAUUGCCGUUAGCCGUGGUGUAGGUCGCAGAUGAGGCUCAGAUCCGGUGUUGCCAUGGCUGUGGCUGUGGCUGUGGCUGUGGCUGGCAGCUGCAGCCUGGGAACCUCCAUAUGCCACGGGUAUGGCCGUGGGUCGGAAAGAAAAAGGUGAGAGAGUGCACUAGACAGGAGGGUGGGUCCUAGAAUCAGACACCCCGGGGGCAAAUCUAGCUCUAUUUAUCCCGUCACCACAGCUGGGUGACGUUCCAUCACUUCUCUAGGCUUCCACUUUCUCACCUCCAUCACGAGCUAGGGAUGGGCUCUCCUUACAGGUGGCGGGAAGACGAAAUGGCUUAGAAGCCUGCCUUACGCCGCCACAGACCAAGGGAGGUAAAACGCCACCCCAAACGCAAUUUUCAACAUGCUAGGAGCCGCGUUGAAGAGCGAAGAAAUAAAUAAAUAAAAAUAACAGCCGAAACGAAUUUUAAUCGUAUUUUAACCCACCGUAUCUCCAACCUUAUCGUUUCAACAUAAAAAUCGAUAUUUGAAAAAUUUUUUUUCAUGAGCUAUUUCAUUGCCUUCUUCAUCCAGAGCCUCUGAAAUCCAGGGUGCAUGUUCCACUAAGCGCACAUCUUAGAUCACAGGAGUGACAUCUGAACGGCUCCCAGGUCCCAGGCGGCUCCUGGCUGUUGUCCUGGGCAGCACGUUGCGUGUGACUCUCCCGGGGAAAGGACUCCUGGAAGCUUGCGCCCCGUCUCCCCCGGACGUCACGCCGUGAGCCUUUUCCCUUUGCUGAUUUUGCUUUUUACCCCGCCGGUGGAAUGGAUCAUAGGCCUGUGUACACACACCUACGUGCUGAGCCCCGAGAGUCCUCCCAACGCGCAAACCGUGGAACCAGAAUCCUCUCCGGAGGCAGGCUUUCCGGGAGGACAGCGGGAUGGAACGGGGUCUGCACAGCCAGGCGGUCCCUCUCCCGCCUCUGGGCACCCCCCAUUCCUCACGCAGAACCAGAUCGGAACCGGCCCCCGGCAGGUGCAAUAACCCAUUUAUAUUUCCGAGCUGCCACAAGAAGCCAUUUUCCUUGGUCUCUGCCUCCCAAGGCCCGGCGAUCACUCUGGAGGGGGAUUACAUAUUUGCGGAGGGUUACUCAGUGUCCUCUCCAAUCUAACUGCCUUUCUCUACAGGGUUAUGAUAAGCUAACGUGAAGGAUUUCACCACGACAGCGUCAUAAGCGAGAGUUUUUAUUUAUUCCUCCCUAAGACUCAGGUGUUAUUCCUUCCAUUUCACUCAUGACUCAUAUCAUUUGCCCAAGGUCACCCCGUGAGUACAUCCUGCCCCAAACACGUUUAUUACAUGGCAAACACUAAUGAGUCUUAUUCUAAAACAAACAGAAGGUGAGCAUUCCGUGUCCAGGCUGGCUGUGCAGCAUUCUGAGAACACAGGCAUUGAGAAUACCACCCGUGUGGUCAGGGCUGGCUUAUCAACGGCUGUGACGUCUGUCCUGCUGCCCCACCCACCCCCUCAGCCAGACCUGCCCUAUCCAGGGGCCCCGCAAUCCAAGAGCCUGCAAAAAACUCAGUCUGACCCACAAGCACUGAGUGAGCUUGGAUGCAGACCCCGCCCCACUUGAACCUUCAGCCUUGACUGCAGCCUCGUGAGAAACCCUGAGCCCGAGGACACUGCUAAGCUGCACCCAUAUUCCUGCUCCACAGAAACCUGAGACAGUAAUAAAUGUUAGUGGGGGUUGGUCUUUUGUUUUGGCUUUUUAGGGCCGCAUCUGCAGCAUAUGGAAGUUCUCAGGCUUGGGGUCAAAUCAGAGCUGCAGCUGCCAGUCUAUGCCAGAGCCACAGCAACACAGGAUCCCAGCCACGGCUGCGACCUACACCACAGCUCCCAGCAACGCCAGAUCCUUAGCCCACUGAGCGAGGCCAGGAAUCAAACCCGAAUUCUCAUGGACACUAGCUGGAUUUGAUUCCGCUGUGCCACGACGGGAACUCCUAUAUGUUAGGGUUUUGAGCUGCUGAGUUGGGGGCGAUUUGUCUUGGAGCACCUCCUUCUCUCUGGAGGAUUCCUGGUGAGCCCAUGAGCCUUUACCUCCUUCAUCCAAGGGCCUGGAGGGCAGACCUCUGGGUGAGCCGGGGCGCAAAUCCCUCCGGAAAAGCAUCGCCUUUCGGCUCCUAGAGCCCCUGCUUUACCCAGAUCUCCACACGCCUCCUCAGGUCCAUCCCGUAUCAGCAUCUUCUCCUCUUCCACGCACUGCACACACAUGUGCACACACACACACACACGCUGGGCCCAAGUGUGCUUCUGUCCCACAAUUUACGAUCCCGUCAAAAGUCAUGCCUAUUUGUGUAUU
Molecule: long non-coding RNA, 6949 nt
Filed under: Sus scrofa (pig)
Lineage: Eukaryota; Metazoa; Chordata; Mammalia; Artiodactyla; Suidae
Description: lncRNA (ENSSSCG00035000159.1, ENSSSCG00050059737.1)
Source: RNAcentral